RNAcentral lists this ribosomal RNA (253 nucleotides) under uncultured bacterium. RNAcentral describes it as "partial 16S ribosomal RNA". It matches the Rfam family "Bacterial small subunit ribosomal RNA", at positions 524 to 776 of the family's 1533-position model. The record is from RNAcentral.
UACGUAGGGGGCAAGCGUUGUCCGGAUUUAUUGGGCGUAAAGAGCUCGUAGGCGGCCACUCAAGUCGAAUGUGAAACCUCGAGGCUUAACCUCGAGCCUGCAUUCGAUACUGGGCGGCUAGAGUCUGGUAGGGGGAUCUGGAAUUCCUGGUGUAGCGGUGGAAUGCGCAGAUAUCAGGAGGAACACCGGUGGCGAAGGCGGCGUUCUGGACUGCAACUGACACUGAGGAACGAAAGCCAGGGGAGCAAACGGG